GGUGGCAUUUCCAUCUCAGUCUUCCAUUUGUCACAGUUACAGCUGGCUUGGCACAUCAGCUUGCAUAGGCUCAGGAUUGCACACGAUUCACAAUGUUGCCUUCAUAAAUUAGUCAAGGCACCAGCCUCGAACUGAACAACUCCAGGUAAGCUCAGAAAAGAUUCCUCCACGACUUCCAUCUAAUCUGAGGUCUGCCUGAAAAGCAUUAGCAGUCUAUAAAUACUGUAAAUACAUACAUGAAUACAUACAUUUGAUAGACACCCCCUCCUUGCUGU
Non-coding RNA from Podarcis lilfordi (Lilford's wall lizard), 275 nucleotides. The record is from the annotation of a GenBank genome assembly. NCBI's taxonomy places the organism in Eukaryota, Metazoa, Chordata, Lepidosauria, Squamata, Lacertidae.